UACGUAGGGUGCGAGCGUUAAUCGGAAUUACUGGGCGUAAAGCGUGCGCAGGCGGUCUGUUAUGUCUGAUGUGAAAGCCCCGGGCUCAACCUGGGAAUGGCAUUGGAAACUGGCAGGCUCGAGUUUGGCAGAGGGGGGUGGAAUUCCGCGUGUAGCAGUGAAAUGCGUAGAUAUGUGGAGGAACACCGAUGGCGAAGGCAGCCCCCUGGGUUAACACUGACGCUCAGGCACGAAAGCGUGGGGAGCAAACAGG
Molecule: ribosomal RNA, 253 nt
Filed under: uncultured bacterium
Lineage: Bacteria
Description: partial 16S ribosomal RNA
Rfam family: Bacterial small subunit ribosomal RNA
Source: RNAcentral